Cordylochernes scorpioides is the source of this 83-nucleotide non-coding RNA. NCBI's taxonomy places the organism in Eukaryota, Metazoa, Arthropoda, Arachnida, Pseudoscorpiones, Chernetidae. The record is from the annotation of a GenBank genome assembly.
UCCCUCGAGUUUUUCCCCAGAGACCUAAGGAUCACCGUUGUAACAUCUACAGUCCUCCGCUCUGCCAUCUGAGCUAUCGAGGG